Molecule: ribosomal RNA, 379 nt
Filed under: uncultured bacterium
Lineage: Bacteria
Description: bacterial SSU rRNA
Rfam family: Bacterial small subunit ribosomal RNA
Source: RNAcentral
UAAUACAGAGGGGGCAAGCGUUGUCCGGAUUGACUGGGCGUACAGCGCGCGCAGGCGGCUCGAAACGUGCCCUGUGACAAACGCGGGCUCAACCCGCGAGGGCCAGGGUACACGGCCGAGCUUGAGACAGGGAGAGGGCAGUGGAAUACCCGGUGGAGCGGUGAAAUGCGUAGAGAUCGGGUGGAACACCAGGGGCGAAGGCGGCUGCCUGGCCCUGCACUGACGCUGAGGCGCGAGAGCGUGGGGAGCAAACCGGAUUAGAUACCCGGGUAGUCCACGCCGUAAACGAUGUGCACCCGGCGCUGGGAAGUGAUUGCGCUUCUCGGUGCCUGAGCUUACGCGAUGAGUGCACCGCCUGGGGACUACGGCCGCAAGGCUA